AUGUAUUAGAGUCUAAUUGGUUCAUGAGAUAUGGGUAUGAGAUCUGGGUAUUGGUUCAUGGGAUUUGGGUAUUGGUUUAUGAGAUUUGGGUAUUGGUUCAUGGGAUAUGGGUAUUAGAUUGGAUGUAUGGUUCAUGGGAUUUGGUCCAUGAGGUUUGGGUUUUGGUUCAUGGGAUAUGGUCUAUGAGGUUUGGGUUGGUUCAUGGAAUUUGGUCUAUGAGAUUUGGUUGGUUCAUGGGAUUUGGUCCAUGAGAUUUGGUUUAUGGUUCAUGGGAUUUGGUCCAUGAGGUUUGAUUAUGGUUCAUGGGAUUUGGUCCAUGAGGUUUGGUUGUGGCUCAUGGGAUUUGGUCCAUGAGGUUUGGUUUUGGUUCAUAGGAUUUGGUCCAUGAGAUUUGAUUUUGGUUCAUGGGAUUUGGUCCAUGAGAUUUGGUUUUGGUUCAUGGGAUUUGGUCCAUGAGGUUUGGUUUUGGUUCAUGGGAUUUGGUCCAUGAGAUUUGGUUAUGGUUCAUGGGAUUUGGUCCAUGAGGUUUGGUUUUGGUUCAUGGGAUUUGGUCUAUGAGGUUUGGUUUUGGUUUAUGGAAUUUGGUCCAUGAGAUUUGGUUUUGGUUCAGGUUGGGUUUGGAUUUGAUUUGAGUUUGGGUUUUGGUUUUAUGUGUGGACUUGGUUUAGGUUUGGAUUUAUUUGGGUUCAAGUUUGGGUUUAUUUGGGUUUUGGGUUUAGGUUUAUUUGGGUUUUGGGUUUGGGUUUAUUUGUGGGUUUAUUUUGUGGACUUGGUUUGGAUUGGUUUGGGUUUAUUUGUAGAUUUGGUUUGGGUUUUUAUGUGGACUUGGUUUGGGUUAGGUUUGGGUUUGAUUUGAUUUAGGUUUGUAGGUGAACGUGACUCGGAUUUGU
RNAcentral lists this long non-coding RNA (890 nucleotides) under Ananas comosus (pineapple). RNAcentral's name for it is "long non-coding RNA (ACOM_LNC029147)". Lineage: Eukaryota; Viridiplantae; Streptophyta; Magnoliopsida; Poales; Bromeliaceae. The record is from RNAcentral.